UGGGGAAUAUUGGACAAUGGGGGCAACCCUGAUCCAGCGACGCCGCGUGUGUGAAGAAGGCCUGCGGGUUGUAAAGCACUUUUAGUGGGGACAAAAAGCUACGGGUUAACACCCUGUGGUCUUGAUUUAACCCAAAGAAAAAGCACCGGCUAACUACGUGCCAGCAGCCGCGGUAAUACGUAGGGUGCAAGCGUUAAUCGGAAUUACUGGGCGUAAAGCGUGCGCAGGCGGUUAUGUAAGACAGGUGUGAAAUCCCCGGGCUUAACCUGGGAAUGGCAUUUGUGACUGCAUGGCUAGAGUGUGUCAGAGGGGGGUAGAAUUCCACGUGUAGCAGUGAAAUGCGUAGAGAUGUGGAGGAAUACCGAUGGCGAAGGCAGCCCCCUGGGAUAACACUGACGCUCAUGCACGAAAGCGUGGGGAGCAAACAGGAUUAGAUACCCUGGUAGUCCACGCCCUAAACGAUGUCUACUAGUUGUCGGGUCUUAAUUGACUUGGUAACGCAGCUAACGCGUGAAGUAGACCGCCUGGGGAGUACGGUCGCAAGAUUA
This 548-nucleotide ribosomal RNA is filed under the name uncultured bacterium. Its description in RNAcentral is "bacterial SSU rRNA". It matches the Rfam family "Bacterial small subunit ribosomal RNA", at positions 355 to 896 of the family's 1533-position model. The record is from RNAcentral.